Molecule: small nuclear RNA, 114 nt
Filed under: Mus pahari (shrew mouse)
Lineage: Eukaryota; Metazoa; Chordata; Mammalia; Rodentia; Muridae
Description: snRNA (MGP_PahariEiJ_G0033448.1)
Source: RNAcentral
CUUAGCAGCAUAGCCAAGUUCUCUCAAGAGGCUAAAGAUGCUGUGCGGAUUAUCAUGCCCCCCCCCGCCCCAUGCAAGGAUGACAUGCAAAUUCAUGGAUCAUUCACAUUGAGA